This 508-nucleotide ribosomal RNA is filed under the name uncultured bacterium. RNAcentral describes it as "partial 16S ribosomal RNA". The record is from RNAcentral.
GGAGUUAGCCGGUGCUUCUUCUGUGAGUGAUGUCCUUCCUGCCGGCUAUUAACCCGCAGGCCUUCUUCCUCACUGAAAGUGCUUUACAACCCGAAGGCCUUCUUCACACACGCGGCAUGGCUGGAUCAGGGUUGCCCCCAUUGUCCAAUAUUCCCCACUGCUGCCUCCCGUAGGAGUCUGGGCCGUGUCUCAGUCCCAGUGUGGCUGAUCAUCCUCUCAGACCAGCUACGGAUCGUCGCCUUGGUGAGCCGUUACCUCACCAACCAGCUAAUCCGACAUAGGCUCAUCCGAUAGCGCGAGGCCCGAAGGUCCCCCGCUUUCCCCCGUAGGGCGUAUGCGGUAUUAGCCUGGGUUUCCCCAGGUUAUCCCCCACUACCGGGCAGAUUCCUAUGCAUUACUCACCCGUCCGCCGCUCGCCACCAGGGAGCAAGCUCCCCGUGCUGCCGCUCGACUUGCAUGUGUUAGGCCUGCCGCCAGCGUUCAAUCUGAGCCAUGAUCAAAAUUCUGA